This 284-nucleotide ribosomal RNA is filed under the name uncultured Lactococcus sp. RNAcentral describes it as "partial 16S ribosomal RNA". It matches the Rfam family "Bacterial small subunit ribosomal RNA", at positions 355 to 632 of the family's 1533-position model. The record is from RNAcentral. Lineage: Bacteria; Bacillati; Bacillota; Bacilli; Lactobacillales; Streptococcaceae.
UAGGGAAUCUUCGGCAAUGGACGAAAGUCUGACCGAGCAACGCCGCGUGAGUGAAGAAGGUUUUCGGAUCGUAAAACUCUGUUGGUAGAGAAGAACGUUGGUGAGAGUGGAAAGCUCAUCAAGUGACGGUAACUACCCAGAAAGGGACGGCUAACUACGUGCCAGCAGCCGCGGUAAUACGUAGGUCCCGAGCGUUGUCCGGAUUUAUUGGGCGUAAAGCGAGACGCGGUGGUUAUUAAGUCUUGUGAAAAGGCAGUGGCUACAACCAUUGUAUGCAUUGGAAA